CGCGUGGGAACGUGCCCUUUGCUACGGAAUAGUCCCGGGAAACUGGGUUUAAUACCGUAUACGCCCUUUGGGGAAGAUUAUCGCAAGAUCGCCGCGUGAUAGUAGUGUGGGUAUGCUACCAAGCGACGAUCCAUAGCUGGUUUGAGAGGAUGAUCAGCCACACUGGGACUGAGACACGGCCCAGACUCCUACGGGAGGCAGCAGUGGGGAAUCUUAGACAAUGGGGGCAACCCUGAUCUAAGCCAUGCCCGCGUAGAGUGAUGAAAGGCCUUAGGGUUGUAAAGCUCUUUCAGCUGGGAA
RNAcentral lists this ribosomal RNA (300 nucleotides) under uncultured Paracoccaceae bacterium. Its description in RNAcentral is "bacterial SSU rRNA". It matches the Rfam family "Bacterial small subunit ribosomal RNA", at positions 116 to 446 of the family's 1533-position model. The record is from RNAcentral. Lineage: Bacteria; Pseudomonadati; Pseudomonadota; Alphaproteobacteria; Rhodobacterales; Paracoccaceae.